RNAcentral lists this transfer RNA (71 nucleotides) under Marmota monax (woodchuck). RNAcentral describes it as "tRNA.Ala". The record is from RNAcentral. Lineage: Eukaryota; Metazoa; Chordata; Mammalia; Rodentia; Sciuridae.
GGGGUUGUGGCUCAGCAGUACAGUGCUCGCCUAGCAUGUGCGAGGCACUGGGUUCGAUCCUCAGCACCACA